This 119-nucleotide ribosomal RNA is filed under the name Lepisosteus oculatus (spotted gar). Lineage: Eukaryota; Metazoa; Chordata; Actinopteri; Semionotiformes; Lepisosteidae. The record is from RNAcentral.
GCCAGCAGCUAUAUCACGUUGCAACUUGCAACUGGCAGCCCACUGAAGCUCAGCAGGUGUGAGCCUGGUCAGUACCUGGAUGGGAGACCUCCUGGGGAAAAACUAAGGUGCUGCUGGAA